RNAcentral lists this long non-coding RNA (569 nucleotides) under Phaseolus vulgaris (common bean). RNAcentral's name for it is "long non-coding RNA (PVUL_LNC000920)". Lineage: Eukaryota; Viridiplantae; Streptophyta; Magnoliopsida; Fabales; Fabaceae. The record is from RNAcentral.
UGAACCCAAUCAAGCUCUAGCAAUCCCUUUUGAUCAUCAAGAAAAAUAGGCUCCCAAGGUCCAAAGCUAGUUCCAUUUAAUUAUGUGAACAUAGAGAUGCUUUUGCACCCCAUUUUGGAGUUGUGUAUAGACAAGGGUGAUGUGAUGUGAUGUGAUGUAACAAGAUUUUAUCCAAAAAGAUGGUUCAGUUAACAUAUUUUGGUGUGUAUGUUUCUGGUAUUGGUAAUUAGUUGCUAGCUUUCAUUUAUUUGAAGUGAAAAUAUAGUGCUGCUGCUGGUGUUUUACCAUAUGUGAGCCUGGUGGGGGGUAUCUGAGGAAGACCCCUGAGUGGAAAGUUGAUGUCCUUUCGAACUCUUCUCACAGUCUUUACGUUCAAGAUGAGAAAUUGCAUAUGCCAAGUGCUUCCAAGAUGUGAAAUAUGCAAAACAAACAGUUCUUCAAGUGCUUGAUGUGUUGAAUCUUGUUGUUUUCUUGCAACCAAAGUUGAUGUUUUUGUCAUCUUAAUUGCAACAAUUAAAUUUCAGCUAUUUGUGAUUUACCUGAUAACUUUGAUAUGUCAUGGUUCUGAA